Long non-coding RNA from Melospiza melodia melodia, 305 nucleotides. RefSeq lists it as uncharacterized. The record is from RefSeq and is a predicted model, not a curated record. NCBI's taxonomy places the organism in Eukaryota, Metazoa, Chordata, Aves, Passeriformes, Passerellidae. The transcript has 3 exons.
CAACUUUGCUCCCUGUUUCUCUUUUAAAGAGGCAAAACAUUGUGAGUUUUAUGAAUGUGAUCCUAAAACCACAGAGUGUGAAGAGAAACGGUUUCCAGAAUGCAAAUGCAAAUUUGAUUUAGAAAAGACAAAAUGGAGUAAUUAUUCUUGUCCAGUGUGCAGUGCAAACUGCUCUGCAGCAAAACACAAGUACUGUAUACAAGAAAAAGAUGGUCCAACAUGCAAAUGUAUGAUUAACUACAAAAUGGAGGCUGGAGAAUGUGUGGCUUGUCCAGUGGGCUACUCCGGGGAGCAAUGCACUGACA